GGCUGCGCUGUUCGGCUGAUGAAUGUGAUCGCAUCGGUCCUCCUCCAGAAAUCAUUUGGGUGGAUAAUAUCCCCGCAGUGGCGUCACCGCUGUCUCGUUCCAGGUCGAACGUCAUUGAGUCUGUGUGUGCGUUGAGUCCCGGUCGUGUUGUUGGACCUAUGCCAACGGACUUUGUCUUAGUUGUGUACAGGUUUUGUGCCUGAAAGAGCUGCUGGCCUUUAUUGACCAGGGUCGAUCUCCUCU
Sinocyclocheilus rhinocerous is the source of this 243-nucleotide long non-coding RNA. RefSeq lists it as uncharacterized. The transcript is spliced from 3 exons. The record is from RefSeq and is a predicted model, not a curated record. NCBI's taxonomy places the organism in Eukaryota, Metazoa, Chordata, Actinopteri, Cypriniformes, Cyprinidae.